GAACCUGAAACCGUUAUGGGGGAAGCGUAUUGGGUCAAAUUGAUUUGGGGGAGUGCUGCUGUUCAACGGGGUGAUUCCCGUGUACUCAGUGCAUUUUCUUACCCGUCGUGUGCUUUGGAUGGUCGAUUUUGGGCUGUCUGGGGCUGAGGGAUCCCCUUUUAUAGGGUGAAGACGAUGGGGCGCUGACACGAUACGACCCGUCUUGAAACACGGACCAAGGAGUUCAGCAUGUGUGCGAGUCAAAGGGUGAUUAAACCUGGGGGCGCAGUGAAAGCAACUUUUGUGUAAGGGAAUCCAACAUUAAGCAGUUUCAGGCGGCAUACGAUCGUUGAUUGUAGGACUGACCUAGAGCACAUGUGCUGAGACCCGAAAGAUGGUGAACUAUGCCGGAGUAGGGCGAAGCCAGAGGAAACUCUGGUGGAGGCUCGUAGCGGUGCUGACGUGCAAAUCGCUCGUCUGACUCGGGUAUAGGGGCGAAAGACUAAUCGAACCAUCUAGUAGCUGGUUUCCUCCGAAGUUUCUCUCAGGAUAGCAGGCCGACGAAUAAGCAUGAAGUCUCAGUUGUUGUGUGCGGUAAAGCGAAUGAUUAGCGUAUUUGGGGGUGAUUAGCCUUCAGACGAUUCUCAAACUUUAAAUGCGCACGGAUGUUGCCGCUUGGGUGGGCGGUAUCAAUUAAAAAACGUCGGCCUUGUGGGCCACUUUUGGUAAGC
This 710-nucleotide ribosomal RNA is filed under the name Cryptopleura ramosa. Its description in RNAcentral is "eukaryotic LSU rRNA". It matches the Rfam family "Eukaryotic large subunit ribosomal RNA", at positions 395 to 1145 of the family's 3401-position model. The record is from RNAcentral. Lineage: Eukaryota; Rhodophyta; Florideophyceae; Ceramiales; Delesseriaceae.